CCACUAUACUAACGAGGACGGCGACGGGAGAUCUUCUUCCGCGCGCGCACCCAUAGCAUCUUUUCACCAGCCGACCGCAACGCUUUCCCGCUUUUGUGCUUCCUUGCUCUCUGGCGACUCGUCCCGCCGCCCCAAAGACGACGAGCCCCAGGCCCAGGCGGCUUUGACGUUACGGCACGCGCAGCCUUUCCCAAAACAACCUUUUCCCCGCCACAGGCUACCUACACACGCGCGCGGCGGCUUCGCGGCUAGGAGGGAAGCCAUGGGGAGACCGACAGAGAGAGACGCAGUCAGGCACGAGAAAAGGGAAGCUUUUAGCUUCCUACCAGCACAAUCGCCAUGUGCAGAGUCGGAAGGCAGAGACGGAGCCAUCCACAUGACAAUUACUAUUUCAUGGAGAGGAAAAAGGAAAAAAACCAAAUUGAUACAUUGAAAAAGUCUGAAAAAUACUAUAUUACUGUAACAGUUGUACAGUCUCCACCUCCAAAAAGAGUAUCUACAUUCUCCAAUACAUUCUUCUCUCCAUCACUCUAUUAUCUCCAGAAGAUCCAAUUCCAGUUUCAGCUCUUACCAGAGAAUACAAUCUACUUAAAUCCAAUAAACAUUUAUCAGCUGGCUACAUG
RNAcentral lists this long non-coding RNA (623 nucleotides) under Sarcophilus harrisii (Tasmanian devil). Its description in RNAcentral is "lncRNA (ENSSHAG00000027985.1)". The record is from RNAcentral. Lineage: Eukaryota; Metazoa; Chordata; Mammalia; Dasyuromorphia; Dasyuridae.